AUGCAAGUCGAACGGAAACGAUGGGAGCUUGCUCCCAGGCGUCGAGUGGCAGACGGGUGAGUAACGCGUGGACAAUCUACCUCCGAGUGGGGGACAACACUUCGAAAGGGGUGCUAAUACCGCAUAAGACUACAGUCUCAUAAGGGACAGUGGUCAAAGCAGGGGAUCUUCGGACCUUGUGCUUGGAGAGGAGUUCGCGUCAGAUUAGCUAGUUGGUGGGGUAAUGGCCCACCAAGGCGACGAUCUGUAGCCGGCCUGAGAGGGUGAUCGGCCACACUGGAACUGAGACACGGUCCAGACUCCUACGGGAGGCAGCAGUGGGGAAUUUUGCGCAAUGGAGGAAACUCUGACGCAGCAAUGCCGCGUGGGUGAUGACGCAUCUUGGUGUGUAAAGCCCUGUCAGAUAGGAAUAAAGGUGUUAGGUUAAUACCCUUUCACUUUGAAUGUACUAUCAGAGGAAGCCCCGGCUAACUCCGUGCCAGCAGCCGCGGUAAUACGGAGGGGGCAAGCGUUAAUCGGAAUUACUGGGCGUAAAGCGCGCGUAGGCGGUUUGGUCAGUCGAAUGUGAAAGCCCAGGGCUUAACCUUGGAAUUGCGCUCGAUACUGCCUGACUAGAGUAUGGUAGAGGGAAGUGGAAUUUCCGGUGUAGC
This 650-nucleotide ribosomal RNA is filed under the name uncultured bacterium. Its description in RNAcentral is "bacterial SSU rRNA". It matches the Rfam family "Bacterial small subunit ribosomal RNA", at positions 55 to 679 of the family's 1533-position model. The record is from RNAcentral.